AAAGAAUAAAGCUACACUGUUGCUCUCCUGUCUUCUGGCUGACCACACAGUUCAUGUAUUAAGAUACUUCUUUAACUUUCUCAGGAAUGUUUCUCUUAGAUCCAGUGAGAAUAAGAUGGAUAGCAGCAAUCUUGCAGUAAUAUUUGCACCGAAUCUUCUUCAGACAAGUGAAGGACAUGAAAAGAUGUCUUCUAACACAGAAAAGAAGCUACGAUUACAGGCUGCAGUAGUGCAGACUCUUAUCGAUUAUGCAUCAGAUAUUGGUAAGAUGUAGUUGCAUUAUUAACAGAAUUUGUUUAAAUGAGGAAAAUCUCUGUUUCUUUCAAAGGAACUAUGAAGGCAACUGUUAGAAAGUUGGUAUAUUACUGACCUCACCCCCACCCUACAGUACCGGCCCCUCCUGCA
Molecule: small RNA, 405 nt
Filed under: Pan troglodytes (chimpanzee)
Lineage: Eukaryota; Metazoa; Chordata; Mammalia; Primates; Hominidae
Description: retained intron
Source: RNAcentral